AUGCCUCACGCUGCUCUCGCCACUUCCGUUACUGAGAGGAUCGACCCUCGAAGAAAAAUGUUUCUGUUGCUGCAACUGAUCCUCUCCUUCCACCAAGCGACCUCGGUAGCGAUCCACCAGACUCCGGCUUUAUCCACAUCUCCCGGCCAGAAUGUGAAACUGAAUUGUUCCAUCGAGGGCAGAAGCAGCAGCAGAAAUUAUUACUUAUUCUGGUACAGACAAUACCAAGGAGAGGGGUUUGAGAACAUGUUUUACUCCACAGUAGCCAAGAGCGUGCAGCCAGGGGUAUCGGUGAACGGUUUUACGGCAGAGAGGCCGACGAGCAACGAGUUCUACCUGAAGACCGACCACCUAGAGGCGGAUUCGUCGGCCGUGUAUUUCUGUGCCUGGAGCGAUCACAGCGACUCAAGCGGACGGAGGAGCUGA
Non-coding RNA from Pristis pectinata (smalltooth sawfish), 426 nucleotides. Lineage: Eukaryota; Metazoa; Chordata; Chondrichthyes; Rhinopristiformes; Pristidae. The record is from the annotation of a RefSeq genome assembly.